RNAcentral lists this ribosomal RNA (911 nucleotides) under uncultured bacterium. Its description in RNAcentral is "bacterial SSU rRNA". It matches the Rfam family "Bacterial small subunit ribosomal RNA", at positions 33 to 926 of the family's 1533-position model. The record is from RNAcentral.
ACGCUGGCGGCGUGCCUAAUACAUGCAAGUAGAACGCUGAAGCUUGGUGCUUGCACCGAGCGGAUGAGUUGCGAACGGGUGAGUAACGCGUAGGUAACCUGCCUCUUAGCGGGGGAUAACUAUUGGAAACGAUAGCUAAUACCGCAUAACAGUCGACAUUGCAUGAUGUUGAUUUGAAAGGUGCAAUUGCAUCACUAAGAGAUGGACCUGCGUUGUAUUAGCUAGUUGGUGAGGUAACGGCUCACCAAGGCGACGAUACAUAGCCGACCUGAGAGGGUGAUCGGCCACACUGGGACUGAGACACGGCCCAGACUCCUACGGGAGGCAGCAGUAGGGAAUCUUCGGCAAUGGGGGCAACCCUGACCGAGCAACGCCGCGUGAGUGAAGAAGGUUUUCGGAUCGUAAAGCUCUGUUGUAAGAGAAGAACGAGUGUGAGAGUGGAAAGUUCACACUGUGACGGUAACUUACCAGAAAGGGACGGCUAACUACGUGCCAGCAGCCGCGGUAAUACGUAGGUCCCGAGCGUUAUCCGGAUUUAUUGGGCGUAAAGCGAGCGCAGGCGGUUAGAUAAGUCUGAAGUUAAAGGCUGUGGCUUAACCAUAGUACGCUUUGGAAACUGUUUAACUUGAGUGCAGAAGGGGAGAGUGGAAUUCCAUGUGUAGCGGUGAAAUGCGUAGAUAUAUGGAGGAACACCGGUGGCGAAAGCGGCUCUCUGGUCUGUAACUGACGCUGAGGCUCGAAAGCGUGGGGAGCAAACAGGAUUAGAUACCCUGGUAGUCCACGCCGUAAACGAUGAGUGCUAGGUGUUGGGUCCUUUCCGGGACUCAGUGCCGCAGCUAACGCAUUAAGCACUCCGCCUGGGGAGUACGACCGCAAGGUUGAAACUCAAAGGAAUUGACGGGGGCCCGCAC